GACGAACGCUGGCGGCGUGCUUAACACAUGCAAGUCGAACGGAAAGGCCCUGCUUUUGUGGGGUGCUCGAGUGGCGAACGGGUGAGUAACCCGUGAGUAACCUUCCCUGGACUUUGGGAUAACUUCAGGCAACUGGGGCUAAUACCGGAUAGGAGCUCCUGCUGCAUGGUGGGGGUUGGAAAGCUUCGGCGGUUGGGGAUGGACUCGCGGGUUAUCAGCUUGUUGGUGGGGUAGUGGCUUACCAAGGCUUUGACGGGUGGCCGGCCUGGGAGGGUGGCCGGCCACCUUGGGCCUGCGAUACGGCCCAGACUCCUACGGGAGGCAGCAGUGGGGAGUAUUGCACAAUGGGCGGAAGCCUGAUGCAGCAGCGCCGCGUGCGGGAUGACGGCCUUCGGGUUGUAAACCGCUUUCGGCUGUGACGAAGCGUGAGUGACGGUAAUGGGUGAAGAAGCACCGGCUAACUACGUG
RNAcentral lists this ribosomal RNA (468 nucleotides) under uncultured bacterium. RNAcentral's name for it is "partial 16S ribosomal RNA". It matches the Rfam family "Bacterial small subunit ribosomal RNA", at positions 28 to 507 of the family's 1533-position model. The record is from RNAcentral.